RNAcentral lists this ribosomal RNA (453 nucleotides) under uncultured Bacteroidota bacterium. RNAcentral describes it as "bacterial SSU rRNA". It matches the Rfam family "Bacterial small subunit ribosomal RNA", at positions 57 to 509 of the family's 1533-position model. Lineage: Bacteria; Pseudomonadati; Bacteroidota. The record is from RNAcentral.
GCAAGUCGAGGGGCAGCAUAGAACUUCGGUUCUGAUGGCGACCGGCGAACGGGUGAGUAACGCGUACACAACCUACCUUCAAGAGGGGGAUAGCCUCGGGAAACUGAGAUUAAUACCCCAUAGUAUUACCUUUAAUAUUUAUUGGUAAUUAAAGCUCCGGCGCUUGGAGAUGGGUGUGCGUCUGAUUAGGUAGUUGGUAGGGUAAAGGCCUACCAAGCCACGAUCAGUAGGGGGCGUGAGAGCGUGGACCCCCACACGGGUACUGAGACACGGACCCGACUCCUACGGGAGGCAGCAGUAAGGAAUAUUGGACAAUGGGCGAAAGCCUGAUCCAGCCAUCCCGCGUGCAGGAUGACGGCCCUAUGGGUUGUAAACUGCUUUUAUCAGGGAAGAAACCCUUGGAUUUAUCCGAGCUGACGUACCUGAAGAAUAAGCACCGGCUAACUCCGUGCC